GGAAGGAGGCUGAUCUGGAAGAGAGCUGGGAAAUCGCUCGGCAUGCUGGAUGCGACUGGAACAGGCAAAAGAAGCUAGGGGGAAGGCAUGGAUUUGGAUGCGGGGCACUGGGAUCAUGGACUCGGGAAGAGGGGCUGGCCACGGGAUCACUUGGAGGGCGCCGCGGGAUCGACGGGAGGAAGAAGAAGAUGGCUGGAUCGAUGGUUCCUUGAUGGCAAGAUACGAAAGAGACGGACGCACAGGCGUUGAUCGCGGGAGAAGAGCUUCGGAGGAUGUGGAUUGCACGUGGGAGAACUCC
This 298-nucleotide long non-coding RNA is filed under the name Phoenix dactylifera (date palm). RNAcentral describes it as "long non-coding RNA (PDAC_LNC020851)". The record is from RNAcentral. Lineage: Eukaryota; Viridiplantae; Streptophyta; Magnoliopsida; Arecales; Arecaceae.